AGAGUUUGAUCCUGGCUCAGGACGAACGCUGGCGGCGCGCCUAACACAUGCAAGUCGAACGAGAGAGAGGGAGCUUGCUUCCUCAAUCGAGUGGCGAACGGGUGAGUAACGCGUGAGGAACCUGCCUCAAAGAGGGGGACAACAGUUGGAAACGACUGCUAAUACCGCAUAAGCCCACGGGUCGGCAUCGACCAGAGGGAAAAGGAGCAAUCCGCUUUGAGAUGGCCUCGCGUCCGAUUAGCUAGUUGGUGAGGUAACGGCCCACCAAGGCAACGAUCGGUAGCCGGACUGAGAGGUUGAACGGCCACAUUGGGACUGAGACACGGCCCAGACUCCUACGGGAGGCAGCAGUGGGGAAUAUUGCACAAUGGGGGAAACCCUGAUGCAGCGACGCCGCGUGGAGGAAGAAGGUCUUCGGAUUGUAAACUCCUGUUGUUGAGGAAGAUAAUGACGGUACUCAACAAGGAAGUGACGGCUAACUACGUGCCAGCAGCCGCGGUAAAACGUAGGUCACAAGCGUUGUCCGGAAUUACUGGGUGUAAAGGGAGCGCAGGCGGGAAGACAAGUUGGAAGUGAAAUCCAUGGGCUCAACCCAUGAACUGCUUUCAAAACUGUUUUUCUUGAGUAGUGCAGAGGUAGGCGGAAUUCCCGGUGUAGCGGUGGAAUGCGUAGAUAUCGGGAGGAACACCAGUGGCGAAGGCGGCCUACUGGGCACCAACUGACGCUGAGGCUCGAAAGUGUGGGUAGCAAACCAGGAUUAGAUACCCUGGUAGUCCACACCGUAAACGAUGAUUACUUUGUGGUGGAGGAUUGACCCCUUCA
Molecule: ribosomal RNA, 822 nt
Filed under: uncultured bacterium
Lineage: Bacteria
Description: bacterial SSU rRNA
Rfam family: Bacterial small subunit ribosomal RNA
Source: RNAcentral